GUUUUAGUAGCUUAAAUGGUUAAAGCAUACGACUGAAGAUCGUAAUAAGGAGGUUCAAUUCCUUCCUAGAACA
Non-coding RNA from Jimgerdemannia flammicorona, 73 nucleotides. Lineage: Eukaryota; Fungi; Mucoromycota; Endogonomycetes; Endogonales; Endogonaceae. The record is from the annotation of a GenBank genome assembly.